AUUGAACGCUGGCGGUAUGCUUAACACAUGCAAGUCGAACGGCAGCACAGCAGAGCUUGCUCUGUGGGUGGCGAGUGGCGGACGGGUGAGUAAUACAUCGGGACCUACCCAGACGUGGGGGAUAACGUAGGGAAACUUACGCUAAUACCGCAUACGUCCUACGGGAGAAAGCAGGGGAUCUUCGGACCUUGCGCGGUUGGACGGACCGAUGUUCGAUUAGCUUGUUGGUGAGGUAAUGGCUCACCAAGGCGACGGUCGAUAGCUGGUCUGAUAGGAUGUUGCGCCACCCUGGGACUGGGACACGGCCCAGACGCCUGCGGGAGGCAGCAGUGAGGAAUAUUGGACAAGGGGCGCAAGCCUGAGCCAGCAAUACCGCGUGUGUGAAGAAGGCCUUCGGGUUGUAAAGCACUUUUCUCAGGAACGAAACGCUGUCGGUUAAUACCCGGCGGAACUGACGGUACCUGAGGAAUAAGCACCGGCUAACUUCGUGCCAGCCGCCGCCGUAA
Molecule: ribosomal RNA, 506 nt
Filed under: uncultured bacterium
Lineage: Bacteria
Description: partial 16S ribosomal RNA
Rfam family: Bacterial small subunit ribosomal RNA
Source: RNAcentral